AAAGGAAUUGACGGAAGGGCACCACCAGGGGUGGAGCCUGCGGCUUAAUUUGACUCAACACGGGGAAACUCACCAGGUCCAGACACAAUGAGGAUUGACAGAUUGAGAGCUCUUUCUUGAUUUUGUGGGUGGUGGUGCAUGGCCGUUCUUAGUUGGUGGAGUGAUUUGUCUGCUUAAUUGCGAUAACGAACGAGACCUUAACCUGCUAAAUAGCCCGUACUGCUCCGGCAGUGCGCCGGCUUCUUAGAGGGACUAUCGGCUCAAGCCGAUGGAAGUUUGAGGCAAUAACAGGUCUGUGAUGC
This 302-nucleotide ribosomal RNA is filed under the name Ophiocordyceps sinensis. RNAcentral describes it as "SSU rRNA". It matches the Rfam family "Eukaryotic small subunit ribosomal RNA", at positions 1146 to 1470 of the family's 1831-position model. Lineage: Eukaryota; Fungi; Ascomycota; Sordariomycetes; Hypocreales; Ophiocordycipitaceae. The record is from RNAcentral.